CUGGCAUGUGAAAAUGCAAUAAGUAGCUUUAGAGCCAAAUGGAAUAUACAAAUGUGUAGCAAUGUCAUCUUUGCUAUUCUAUUCUGGUCAAGAGAAGGCAUAUGCUGAUUGAGAAGAUACCAACAUAUACAGCUGCUAAUAGUUACUCUAACUCAACAUGUGUUAAGACCAAAGAAUAGUUGUCAUCUGGCGCAAGUGCUGAGCCUCUUUCAGAUGAGGCAAUGGGGUACAAGUCUAUUACCUCUAGCUCAGAAACACUAUUCACCAACUACCCAAUAAUAAACACAUCUAUUCCACUUGUUUUAAGGCUUUUUAGAAAUCAUUAACUCAAAGUAUCUUUGUAAUUGAUACACAUCUGCAGACCACAGGGUAGCUGGGACAUAAUAGUUAUAAUGAAAGAAUGAUCAAGUGCCAACAUGGAAGGGUGUCUCAUAAGAGCCUAGACAUUAUAAAUAUAAUGUCAUAUCUUGCCUUUGGAAGGUCAGGGAAAAUAUACUUGUCUAUUCACUAAAUAUACUUAAGGCCUUGCUAAAUUAUUAUUCAUUUGAAAAAAAAAGCUUUGGAGAUAACAGAAUAUUAUAAAAUAUAAAAUAAUUGAAAUCAUGGUUGUUUUCCAUCCACACAGAGGGAAAAUGUUCAUAGUGUUGGGGGAAGAAAAGACCAAAUGAUUAACGUGGCUAAGAGCUCUUACAUCUUGAUGAGAAAAUAUUUAACCUCUCUUGGCCAUCAGAAACCUGACUGAGCAUGUUCUCAGUUUUGUCUGCCAAAGGCUAUUUUGGAAUCUGGGAACAAUUGUUUUAAAAGGAAAGAAAUUGUCUAGUCUAGAUUCCAGAGGCGUGUGUUGAGACCUUCCUCUCAUUUCUUUCAUUUACUCAACAAAUAUUUAAGGCAGUAUUGCAUACAAUGAUGAUACAACAAUGAACAAGACAGACAAAGCUCCUGCUCUUCAGGAUUCUACAUGCUACUGGUGGAGGCAAAGGAUUGGAGAGAUUAAGGAACUUGAUUCAAGUCACGAAGCUACUAAGAGGCAAAACCAUGGUUUUAGUGAGACCCGUCUGGUUUCAAGAAGAGUAGUUUAAGUGUAUUCAGAGCCCAUUAUGUACCAGUCACUAUGUUCAGAAGUUUAUAUCUAGACCCCUCACAACAGGUAUGUAUGGGUAUAAUAAAAGUGUAAGUGUGUAAACAUAGAGCCAUAUCCAGAAGUCUGAAUUAAUGUCUUCUCCACUAGGAGUAAACCAGAAUCAACCUACUACACUAAGAGCAGAAAGCCACACUCUUCUCUUGGAGACAAGGUCUCAGGAAAGGAGUGGGUAAAACACUUAUCUCCAGAAAGCCAGCAAGAGGGAAGAAGGAAGAAAACCCCAUCCUGCAUGGUAUGAUGCUGAGAUUCCUCACAUAUCUUCAAAGCAUCCUAAGAAAGUUAUAAGGAGACAAGUCGAAUGAAACGAUGUUAUUCAAGGACCUGCUGCAUUUGGUCUGAAUGCAAACAAUUCCUUUGGAUGGCUGAAUCAUAAUUUAUUUAACCAUAUACUUUGUGUUCUGAAGCAAAACAGAAAAUUGUUUUAUCUUUGGGGGAAGAGGGAAACAAGUGGAAUCAGGGAUGAACCAGCCAAGUACCAUCCCAGUAGGGAGCCCUCCCUGGAAGUCACACAGUGCAGGAUGCAGCUUCCACCCCCGACCCUGUGGGUCAGAGACAGCAGUGGCACUUGAUUGUUCAUACUGCUCAGGGUAGACCGACACCCUGCAUGGAUUGUGUUAGCCCAUGGGAGUCCUGUAUAAUUGAAGAGGAGGGUGUUGACUUGGAAGGAAGAACCGAAGUACCUACUAAAAAGGCAGGUGAAUGCUUGAAUAACUUAUUAGAAAGGCGAAGAAUGCGGCCCUAUUAGGUCUAAAGUGGUAGAGUGCUUUCUACAGAAAAUAAAAGCACAGUAUGACUCUCUCUACAGCCAAAUUUCAUAAAUAAUAUGUCUCAACCUGCUCCUUCUAUUUUCUUGUCACUAUCUUUUUAAACCUGCUUCCUGUUAUCUACUAUAAGAUUACUCAAAAAAUAAUGAAUGAAUGCAUGACUGCUACCUAAUGGGCUUUCCUUUGUGUCUAUUUGACCUAGUAUCUAUCUCUACAGCACUUGACAUGUGCCUCUGCUAAAACAGCAGUGCAGGCUUCAUCAUCCAUCCUCCUUGAAAUUAUUAUUUCGUAGUUUCAUGAAUUCCUUUCUAGCCUAUUCUCCUACUCCUCUGUCUCUUUUUCUUUCUAUCUUCUGCCUCUUUCCUAUCUUUGCCUGCUCCUCCUCCUUAAAUGUUAGCUUCCCCAACUACGACUAUAAUUUAAGAUUUAAUAGAUAUCUUUAUGUAUAAGGAUAUAGAAUAGGAUAAAAGGAAAGAAAAAAUACCUUAUCACAAAACUCCAAUGAAAAGGAAAUUGUAGAGCCAUAACGAUAUUAGAAAAAGCAAACUUUAAGAAAUGAUACUAAAGAUCAGUAGAUAUAUUUUGUACUAGAAAAAUCUCAUUUUAACAGAAAGAUAUAACAAGUCUAAAUAUAUCUGCCCCUGACAAGCUUCCAAAUCAAUAAAGAAAAAAAGAGACAGAACUAACAGAAGAACUAAACAAAUUCAUGAUGAUAGUGGGAAAAUGUAACAUACUCCUCUCAUUAACUGAAAGAACAAAAAAGGCAUUAAAGAAGCAUUGUAGAAGGUCUGAACACUAUGAUGAACAAACUUGACUUAAUUGACAUUUAUACAACACUGUAUUCAACAUUCCAGAGUCCAUAUUCUUUUCCAAAGCAAUGGAACAUUUACCAAAAUAGAAAAUUUUCUAGGCCAUAAAGCAAGUCGUAGCAAAUUUCAAAGGAUUGAAAUAAUACCAAGAACGUUUUCUGGUUUCUGUGGGAUUAAGCUAAAAUCAAUAACAGAAAGCAAAUUAGAAAAUUUCUAAAUUUGUUAAAAUUAAGCAACACAUUCUGAAUAGCCCAUGUGUCAAAUUAGAAAAGAUAACAUCUCACAGCCAUAAAACUGAGCAAAGAAGACAGACGUGAAGGGGUAGAUGCUAGACAACUUCAAGUAUGUAAGGUUCCAAAUCAUCUCUAGUGACAGAGAUCAGAAUAGUGGCUAUCUUUGCAGGAAGAGAAUUAUGAGAAAAACUUCUAAGAUGGUGGUAAUAGUCUACAUCAUAAUUUUCUGGGUUAUGUGACUGCAUCACUUUCUAAAAUUUUGCUUAAAAUUUGUACAUCGUACUAUGCUAUAUUUAAAUACAAACUUUACUAAAAGAAGCAAUUAAAUUUUUGUUAAAUAGAGCUUAUCUUUAACAACACUCCUUGCUUCUCCUCAUCCACUACUACGGUUUCAGUAAUUUCCUCUAUGCCUUGGCUCUAUAACUCUAUCAUAUUUCUGACGUCUAAUUUUAGUACCAGUCCUGAGCAAUGAAAUUUAUUCCUAUUAGACAUGCCAUUCAUGAUCCCAUUGUAACAGGUUUAAAACUGAAAUCUGCUAGAAGAUUUCUUUCUACCGUCUCAACAGUGCUAUUAUUUGCCCAAUUACACAGGCUCACGACAACCAGUUGUCCUUAAAUUUUCUAUUGUUUUAAGUGUCCAUACCUUGUCAUGAACACCUGAAGAUCUUUUCUUCAAAUUAUCUCUUGCCUACCCCAACUAUUUCCAUUUUCACUAAUCCGAUGAAGGACCCAUUUCCCUAUAAGAGAGCCCCAGUUAUCCUUGACCACGAAACCAUGACUUUCUGCCAAGAGUACUGCAACAGUCUCCUCACUGGCCUCAGACUUCAGCUGCUCCUCCUUCCAAAGCCUCCUUUGCACAGCUGCUGCAUAAAUCUGCUUAAAACGUUAUUUUUGUCAUAUGUUUCUCUAAUUAAAACAAAAACUUUUUAUUAUUUUCCAUUAACUGAAAGAAAAAUGGAAAGUUUUGAGCCUAAUAUACAGUUUUACAUAUUCUGACUCCAACUUGUUUUUCUAGUUUUCCUAAAUCUCCCAUAGCUAAAUCAGCCUUUAUUAUCUCCAUAAUCUUCUUUGUGCUUAUUUUCCAACCUCACUUGUCCAUCUCAUUUUUCUCCAGAUAUUUAAAUCUUAUCCCUCACUUCAGAGCAUUACACCACAAGAGGCCUUAGGAUUUGCAACCACAUAGACUAAGAUGCAAAUGCUAGCUUUGCCAUUGAUUGGCACUGUGACCUUGGGCAAGUUAGUUCACCUCAGACCCUCAGUCUCAGACCCUCAUCUGUACUCCACAGAUAAUUAUUAGGUACUUCCCAUCUGCCAAAGACUGUACUACGCUUAAGGAUGCAAGGGCGACCAAAGGCAGACAAAUGCAUCUCUGUCAUCAUGGAACUUCCAGCCCAACAAAAGAGAAACAUUAAUAAAAUCCCGUAAGACCCACGUUGCACAGUGUUAGAACUAAAGUGAAUACAUGCAAAGCAAGUAACUCAGUGUUGAACACUUUAUGGGUAGAAAAAAUAAUGGUUAUUACUAAUCCUCCAAAACCCAGCAAAAUACCCAUCUUCUGUGAUAAGUCUAACACUUCAAUUUCCUCUCCAAGGACUCUGGAAAUUAAGAUCACCCUCAUGUUACCAUGAAGUCUACAAAUAUCCCCUCAUUCUCCAAGUUCUUCUUUUACUGUCUUUACCAUGCAUCUGACAACUGACCAUGUACUUUUCAGAGGUAAUUUCUUUUGUUAUAUUGCCAUUAAACAGGGCAAGCAUUUUAUCUCAGCAACUCAAUCUAAGCUUUUUAAGAGUAUGGACUGAGUUUUUAAAAGUUUGAUAUGCACUAAAGCUCCCAGAACAUGCUAAAUAUUUGUUGAUUUAGUGAGUCCAGCCCUACAAGUCCAGCUCUAUGAAUCCCUAUGGAGUACUUGAAGUGAUUCCAGAGGUUUUCUUCCCCCACAUAGAAAAACAAUCUGGCCUAGAAUAUUGGGAAGUGGAAACAUCAUUACUCAUUUACCCUCUUUGAGAGUUUCUCCCACCCAUUUUCCUCUUUAGCCUGCCAAAAUGUUUCAAAUUUCUAGGAGCCCAGGAAAAGGCUGGUUUUGGCAGCAGACAAGAAAAGGAUGAAAUGUUGAUUACGAGGGGAAAAAAGUUAAAAUGAGCCAGAGCCAGAAUCCCUGAAAAAAAAUUUAAAUUGAAUUUCUAAAAGGAGCCUUGAUUCUUGGAGUAUGUUUAUUUCCCAUUGAGCUUGGGAGAUUAUCCAAAGGAAGUUAAAACCAAAAUAUUUCCCACUAGGAAUAGUAGACAUUGGCUUGCCAAGUUUAGAAUCUACUAACUCAUUGGGCCCUAGAUUUUGAAGCAGUCACAAAGAAUACCAUUUCACUUUUCCCUGGGGAAAUGAUUUCCAGCUUCAUAGUUUUAAAGUGUUUGAAGAUGUAAAAUUAUACUCAAAUAAUAUCUUAUGAAUGUUAAUUUUAAAGAAUAAAAAACACAAGUAUGUUUGAAUGAUGAGAAGGCUAUUUUGUUAGAAUUUGAAAUCUUUAAUAUUAAGACAAAAAGAGAGGACGUGAUAAUAAAUUUUUAAACUAUGUGCCUGAAUUAUAAGCCAUAAUAAUUCUAGCAGUCUGCCUCAAAACAUCUGAAACCGGCUAGGCGCGGUGGCUCGCGCCUGUAAUCCCAGCACUUUGGGAGGCCAAGGUGGGCGGAUCACAAGGUCAGGAGAUCGAAACCAUCCUGGCUAACACGGUGAAACCCCAUCUCUACUAAAAAGUAGAAAAAAAUUAGCCAGGCGUGGUGGUGGGCACCUGUAGCCCCAGCCACUCGGGAGGCUGAGGCAGGAAAAUGGUGUGAACGCGGGAAGUGGAGCUUGCAGUGAGCCGAGAUCACACCACUGCACUACAGCCUAGGCGACAGAAUGAGACUCUGUCUCAAAAAAAAAAAAAAAAAAAAAUCGGAAAUCAAUGUUCUAAAAUACAGGUUUAAAAUAGCCGCCCACACCUCUCUGAGUACCCACUGUUCAGCAACUAAUGUCUGUUAACAUCAAUCAUCCAACUGGAUUAAUUAGCCAUAUUUUGUUCCCUGCUUGUAUAAAUUCCACGGAUAUUUUCCAGAUGACAGUGGCCUUCAAAGCACUAUGUCAGGUUCUAUGGGGACACAAAAAUGAAUGGCAUACUCUCAGCCCUUCAGAAUCAUAUCUUGGUUAGGGAGUCAGACACCUACAAUCAUAACACAAUCAUGAAAAUGUUACAAAGCAGCCUCUCAGAAACACGAUAAUAGAGAUCCAUAUGCUGUGCCAUGGGAGAUGAGACUCAUGGACGGGUGGUGGUGGGUCCGGAAUUUAUUCCUUCCAAUGGGUUCUUGGUCUGGCUGACUUCAAGAAUGAAGCCGCAGACCUUCACAGUGAGUGUUACAGCUCUUAAAGAUGGUGUGUCCAGAGUUUGUUCCUUCAGAUGUUCAGAUGUGAUCCGGAGUUUCUUCCUUCCGGUGGGUUCAUGGUCUCGCUGACUUCAAGAAUGAAGCUGUGGACCUUCCAGUGAGGGUUACAGCUCUAAAAGGUGGCACAUCCAGAGUUGUUUGCUCCUCCCAGAGGGUUCAUGGGCUCCUUGACUUCAGGAAUGAAGCCACAGACCCACUCGCUGGGAGUGUUACAGCUCAUAAAGGUAGUGUGGACCCAAACAGUGAGCAACAGCAAGAUUUAUUGUGAUGAAUGAAACAACAAAGCCCCCACGAGGUGGAAGGGCACCCCAGCGGGUUGCUGUUGCUGGCUCCAGUGGUCAGCUUUUAUUCCCUUAUUUGGCCCCGCCCACAUCCAGCUGAUUGGUCCAUUUUACAGAGCGCUGAUUGGUCCACUUUACAGAUUGCUGAUUGGUCCAUUUUACAGAGUACUGAUUGGUGCGUUUACAAUCCUUUAGCUAGACGCAGAGUGCUGAUUGGUGCGUUUUUACAGAGUGCUGAUUGGUGCUUUUACAAUCCUUUAGCUAGACACAGAGCACUGAAUGGUGCAUUUACAAUCCUCUAGGUAGACAUAAAAGUUCUCCAAGUCCCCAGUCGACCCAGGAAGUCCAGCUCGCUUCACCUCUCAGUAGGAACAUAGCAUAUACACAUUCAACUGAGGGAAUCCAGGAAGGAUUCACAGAAAGAUGGCCUUUGAUCAAUUAAUCAGUAGAAAUUAUUUGUUGGGCAGAAGUUUUCCAGACAGAAGGAACAGCUUGAAGAAAAAGUUUACAAAAAGAAUAUUUUUUAAAAAGACAGAGUGUGUGUGUGUGUGUGUGUGUGUGUGUGUGUGUGUGUGUGUAUGUGUAGGGUUUUGGUGCCAGUGUACAAGGUAUGCUAUAAGAGUAUAGGAGAAGCUCAAAUGAGAAAGGCCAGUGAAUGGCUUACACAAAGUAUGAAACAAUCAGAGGCUGGGUGCGGUGGCUCAC
Molecule: long non-coding RNA, 7345 nt
Filed under: Homo sapiens (human)
Lineage: Eukaryota; Metazoa; Chordata; Mammalia; Primates; Hominidae
Description: HSALNT0119223
Source: RNAcentral